CAGACGAUGCGUCAUGCAUAUCAAUAAGCGGAGGAAAAGAAACUAACAAGGAUUCCCCUAGUAACGGCGAGUGAAGCGGGAAGAGCUCAAAUUUGAAAUCUUAAAGGGUUUCCCUUUACGAAUUGUAGUUUAAAGAAGUGUUUUCUGUUGAGGUUUUGGUAAAAGUUCUUUGGAAUAGGACAUCAUAGAGGGUGAGAAUCCCGUAUUUGACCUUUACUUUCAACUUUGUGAUACACUUUCAAAGAGUCGGAUUGUUUGGGAAUGCAGUCCAAAAUGGGUGGUAAAUUUCAUCUAAAGCUAAAUAUUGGCGAGAGACCGAUAGCGAACAAGUACCGUGAGGGAAAGAUGAAAAGGACUUUGAAAAGAGAGUUAAACAGUACGUGAAAUUGUCAAAAGGGAAGCGUUUGACACCAGUGUUGUUUUUCUGAAAAUCAAUUAAAGAACUGUUUAUGCUAAGCUGUUUAGACUUUAUCAGCUAACUGUUUAGUUUUGAGCUUUUCUUUAAUGCACUUUUUCAGUUAACAAGUCAACAUCAAUUUCUUUUGCUGUAAAAAAGCUUGAGGAAGGUGGCUUGAGAUUCGUCUUAAGUGUUUAUAGCCUCUUGCCUAUGCAGUCCGGAGAGAUUGAGGUCUGCAGCGUAGAUCCUUCGGGGCUAAAUGCAUUUGUGCUAAGUUAUAACAUUUUAUAGACAAUUUGUUGACUAUGAUUUGUCUUGUAGCUUACUCGCUUAUGUUAUUUUACCUACGCUUAGGAUGUUGAAUCUGUGCGAGACUAC
This 775-nucleotide ribosomal RNA is filed under the name uncultured Neocallimastigales. RNAcentral's name for it is "partial large subunit ribosomal RNA". It matches the Rfam family "Eukaryotic large subunit ribosomal RNA", at positions 18 to 644 of the family's 3401-position model. Lineage: Eukaryota; Fungi; Neocallimastigomycota; Neocallimastigomycetes; Neocallimastigales. The record is from RNAcentral.